UACGUAGGGUGCUAGCGUUGUCCGGAAUCAUUGGGCGUAAAGAGCGUGUAGGCGGUCCGGUAAGUCCGCUGUGAAAGUCGGGGGCUCAACCCUCGAAUGCCGGUGGAUACUGUCGGGCUAGAGUGCGGAAGAGGCGAGUGGAAUUCCUGGUGUAGCGGUGAAAUGCGCAGAUAUCAGGAGGAACACCUAUUGCGAAGGCAGCUCGCUGGGACGUAACUGACGCUGAGACGCGAAAGCGUGGGGAGCAAACAGG
RNAcentral lists this ribosomal RNA (253 nucleotides) under uncultured bacterium. RNAcentral describes it as "partial 16S ribosomal RNA". It matches the Rfam family "Bacterial small subunit ribosomal RNA", at positions 524 to 776 of the family's 1533-position model. The record is from RNAcentral.